Molecule: ribosomal RNA, 540 nt
Filed under: pr. Eubulus sp. ARC5146
Lineage: Eukaryota; Metazoa; Arthropoda; Insecta; Coleoptera; Curculionidae
Description: partial 16S large subunit ribosomal RNA
Rfam family: Archaeal large subunit ribosomal RNA
Source: RNAcentral
GGCUUUUUGAUUAUAAUUUAAAGUCGAACCUGCCCAAUGAAGUUUUAAAUGGCCGCGGUAUUUUGACCGUGCAAAGGUAGCAUAAUCAUUAGUUUUUUAAUUGAAAGCUUGUAUGAAGGGUUUGAUGAGAAAAUUUCUGUCUCUAAUUAAUUUUAAUAGAAUUUUAUUUUUAAGUUAAAAAGCUUAAAUAUUUAUAAAAGACGAGAAGACCCUAUAGAGUUUUAUAAAAAUUUUUUUUAACUGUAUAUUAAGAAUUUGUUUACUAGUAAAAAAAAUUUUAUUUUGUUGGGGUGAUAGAAAAACUAAAAGAACUUUUUUUUUAUUAAAUCAUUUAUAUGUGAAUUUUUGAUCCAUUAUUUUGAUGAUUAGAAAAAUAAAUUACCUUAGGGAUAACAGCGUUAUUUUUUUUUAGAGUUCUAAUCAAAAAAAAAGAUUGCGACCUCGAUGUUGGAUUAAAAUUUAAAAUUGGUGUAGAGGCUAAUUUUUUAAGUCUGUUCGACUUUUAAAAUUUUACAUGAUCUGAGUUUAAACCGGUGUAAG